RNAcentral lists this unclassified non-coding RNA (380 nucleotides) under Melitaea cinxia (Glanville fritillary). RNAcentral's name for it is "misc RNA ENSMCXG00005018535.1". Lineage: Eukaryota; Metazoa; Arthropoda; Insecta; Lepidoptera; Nymphalidae. The record is from RNAcentral.
UAUGGGCUCCAUCAUCAAACCUGGUCCUGCGACACAGAUGAUCACACAGCAGGUAAUUGCUAUAAAUCGUUGAAAAGUUCCCUCGACUAUCUUUCGUCUCCGUCAUCAGACUUUAAUGGCACUUGUAACUCAUAUAGGUGCAAAGUUCUCAUCAAUAGAAACGAAUUAAGUUCAAACAGCAGGUAAUUGCUAUAAAUUGUUGAAGAGUUCCCUCGACUAUCUUUCUUCUCCAUCAUCAGAUCGACUCCAGACCUUUAUUAAAUAGUAGUGCUUUAUAGUGCUUAAUGAAAACAUGAUUAAAUUUACUAGUCACCCUUACGAUUUUUGAAAGUUUCUCUCGAUUUCUCUGGGAUCCCAUCAUCAGAUCCUGGUUUCCUUAU